UACGUAGGAUGCUAGCGUUGUCCGGAUUUACUGGGCGUAAAGCGUGCGCAGGCGGUUCGUUGUGUCGGCGGUGAAAGCCCCGGGCUUAACCUGGGAAUGGCCGUCGAAACUGGCGAACUGGAGUGUGGCAGAGGGGGGUGGAAUUCCGCGUGUAGCAGUGAAAUGCGUAGAGAUGCGGAGGAACACCGAUGGCGAAGGCAGCCCCCUGAGCUGACACUGACGCUCAGGCACGAAAGCGUGGGGAGCAAACAGG
Molecule: ribosomal RNA, 253 nt
Filed under: uncultured bacterium
Lineage: Bacteria
Description: partial 16S ribosomal RNA
Rfam family: Bacterial small subunit ribosomal RNA
Source: RNAcentral